CAAGGCUUCCUGGCCCCAACCCACCUCCCGCCUCCAGGGCGCCGCUUAAAGUGUGCGGAGCAGGUGCCUUGGGUGGAGCCACAACUUUGCGCGAGUGUCUUGGUUGAGCGCAGCGCCCAUUCAUUGCCCGCGAGCGUCCAUCCAUCUGUCCGGCCCGCGGUCCAGCGAAAGGGGCUCCAGGCCGGACGCAGCAGCCAACCGGGGAACCCAGGCCAGGAAAGGGGCCGAGAACGCGGCUGAACCUUGCGGGCCGGGGCAGGGGACUGUGGCCGCGGCCAUGCAGUCCUGUGCCAGGGCGUGGGGGCUGCGCGUGGGCCGCGGGGUCGAGGGCGGCCGCCGCCUGGCUGGGGGAUCGGGGCCCUGCUGGGCGCCGCGGGGCCGGGACAGCAGCAGUGGCGGCGGGGACAGCGCCGCGGCUGGGGCCUCGCGCCUCCUGGAGCGCCUUCUGCCCAGACACGACGACUUCGCUCGGAGACACAUCGGCCCUGGGGACAAAGACCAGAGGGAGAUGCUGCAGACUUUGGGGCUGGCGAGCAUUGAUGAAUUGAUCGAGAAGACGGUUCCUGCCAACAUCCGUUUGAAAAGACCCUUGAAAAUGGAAGACCCUGUUUGUGAAAAUGAAAUCCUUGCAACUCUGCAUGCCAUUUCAAGCAAAAACCAGAUCUGGAGAUCAUAUAUUGGCAUGGGCUAUUAUAACUGCUCAGUGCCACAGACGAUUUUGCGGAACUUACUGGAGAACUCAGGAUGGAUCACCCAGUAUACUCCAUACCAGCCUGAGGUGUCUCAGGGGAGGCUGGAGAGUUUACUCAACUACCAGACCAUGGUGUGUGACAUCACAGGCCUGGACAUGGCCAAUGCAUCCCUGCUGGAUGAGGGGACUGCAGCCGCAGAGGCGCUGCAGCUGUGCCACAGACACAACAAGAGGAGGAAGUUCUUUGUUGACCCCCGUUGCCACCCACAGACAAUAGCUGUUGUCCAGACUCGAGCCAAAUACACUGGAGUCCUCACUGAGCUGAAGUUACCCUGUGAAAUGGACUUCAGUGGAAAAGAUGUCAGCGGAGUGUUGUUCCAGUACCCAGACACGGAAGGGAAGGUGGAAGACUUUACGGAACUCGUGGAGAGAGCUCAUCAGAGUGGGAGCCUGGCCUGCUGUGCUACUGACCUUUUAGCUCUGUGCAUCUUGAGGUCACCUGGAGAAUUUGGGGUAGACAUCGCCCUGGGCAGCUCACAGAGAUUUGGAGUGCCACUGGGCUAUGGGGGACCCCACGCAGCCUUUUUUGCUGUCCGAGAAAGCUUGGUGAGAAUGAUGCCUGGAAGAAUGGUGGGGGUGACAAGAGACACCACUGGGAAAGAAGUGUAUCGUCUUGCUCUUCAAACCAGGGAGCAACACAUCCGGAGAGACAAAGCUACCAGCAACAUCUGUACAGCUCAGGCCCUCUUGGCGAAUAUGGCUGCCAUGUUUGCAAUCUACCAUGGUUCCCAUGGGCUGGAGCAUAUUGCUAGGAGGGUACAUAAUGCCACUUUGAUUUUGUCGGAAGGUCUCAAGCGAGCAGGGCAUCAACUCCAGCAUGACCUGUUCUUUGAUACCUUGAAGAUUCAGUGUGGUUGCUCAGUGAAGGAGGUCUUGGGCAGGGCUGCUCAGCGGCAGAUCAAUUUUCGGCUCUUUAAGGAUGGCACGCUUGGUAUUUCUCUUGAUGAAACAGUCAAUGAAAAAGAUCUGGACGAUUUGUUGUGGAUCUUUGGUUGUGAGUCAUCGGCAGAACUGGUUGCUGAAAGCAUGGGAGAGGAGUGCAGAGGUAUUCCAGGGUCCGUGUUCAAGAGGACCAGCCCGUUCCUCACCCAUCAAGUGUUCAACAGUUACCACUCUGAAACAAAUAUUGUCCGGUAUAUGAAGAAACUGGAAAAUAAAGACAUUUCCCUUGUUCACAGCAUGAUUCCACUGGGAUCCUGCACCAUGAAACUGAACAGUUCGUCUGAACUCGCACCUAUCACAUGGAAAGAAUUUGCAAACAUCCACCCCUUUGUGCCUCUGGACCAAGCUCAAGGAUAUCAGCAGCUUUUCCGAGAGCUUGAGAAGGAUUUGUGUGAACUCACAGGUUAUGACCAGAUCUGUUUCCAGCCAAACAGCGGAGCCCAGGGAGAAUAUGCUGGACUGGCCACUAUCCGAGCCUACUUAGACCAGAAAGGAGAGGGGCACAGAACGGUUUGCCUCAUUCCGAAAUCAGCACAUGGGACCAACCCAGCAAGUGCCCACAUGGCAGGCAUGAAGAUUCAGCCUGUGGAGGUGGAUAAAUAUGGGAAUAUUGAUGCAGUUCACCUCAAGGCCAUGGUGGAUAAGCACAAGGAGAACCUAGCAGCCAUCAUGAUUACAUACCCAUCCACCAAUGGGGUGUUUGAAGAGAACAUCAGUGACGUGUGUGACCUCAUCCAUCAACAUGGAGGACAGGUCUACCUAGACGGGGCAAAUAUGAAUGCUCAGGUGGGAAUCUGUCGCCCUGGAGACUUUGGGUCUGAUGUCUCACACCUAAAUCUUCACAAGACCUUCUGCAUUCCCCACGGAGGAGGUGGUCCUGGCAUGGGGCCCAUCGGAGUGAAGAAACAUCUUGCCCCGUUUUUGCCCAAUCAUCCCAUCAUUUCACUGAAGCGGAAUGAGGAUGCCUGCCCUGUGGGAACCGUCAGCGCGGCCCCCUGGGGCUCCAGUUCCAUUUUGCCCAUUUCCUGGGCUUAUAUCAAGAUGAUGGGAGGCAAGGGCCUUAAACAGGCCACGGAAACUGCGAUAUUAAAUGCCAACUACAUGGCCAAGCGAUUAGAAAAACACUACAGAAUUCUUUUCAGGGGUGCGAGAGGUUAUGUGGGUCAUGAAUUUAUUUUGGACACGAGACCCUUCAAAAAGUCUGCAAAUAUUGAGGCUGUGGAUGUGGCCAAGAGACUCCAGGAUUAUGGAUUUCACGCCCCUACCAUGUCCUGGCCUGUGGCAGGGACCCUCAUGGUUGAGCCCACUGAGUCGGAGGACAAGGCAGAGCUGGACAGAUUCUGUGAUGCCAUGAUCAGCAUUCGGCAGGAAAUUGCUGACAUUGAGGAGGGCCGCAUCGACCCCAGGGUCAAUCCGCUGAAGGUGCGUAGGCCCUGGAACUUUGCUUGAAAUGUUCCUUAAACUAGAAAAUGAUGUCUGGACAGUGUACCAGCACCUCCUGAACUCUCAACUGAGGAUGAUACUCUUCCCUAGAAUAAGAUGUCUCCACACUCUCUGACCUGCGUUACCUCCUCCCACUGGGACCGGCCUUAUUCCAGAGAGGUGGCAGCGUUCCCACUCCCCUUCGUGAAACCAGAGAACAAAUUCUGGCCAACAAUUGCCCGGAUUGAUGACAUAUAUGGAGAUCAGCACCUGGUUUGUACCUGCCCACCCAUGGAAGUUUAUGAGUCUCCAUUUUCUGAACAAAAGAGGGCCUCUUCUUAGUCCUAAGUUUAAGGGACUGAUUUGAUGCCGCUCCCCAGAUCAUUUGAUAAGCAAGAAAGAUUUCAUCUCCCACCCCAGCCUCAAGUAGGAGUUUUAUAUACUGUGUAUAUCUCUGUAAUCUCUGUCAAGGUAAAUGUAAAUACAGUAGCUGGAGGGAAUCGAAGCUGCUGGUUGGAAGAUGGAUUUGCUUUGGUAUUCUGCUUCCACAUGUGCCAGCUGCCUGGAUUGGGAGCCACUUUGUUUUUUGCAUAGAAAGUUUUAGGAAUUUUAACUUUUAAUGUGGCAAGUUUGCAGACAUCAUAGAGGCUAGCCUGGAGACUUAAUAGACAUAUAUUUGUUCCAAAAAAGUCCGCAUGGACUGUGCCAUCUGUGGGAAAUCCCAGGGCAAAUGUUUACAUUUUGUAUACCCUGAAGAACUCUUUUUCUCCUAAUAUGCCUAAUCUGUAAUCACAUUUCUGAGUGUUUUCCUCUUUUUCUGUGUGAGUUUUUUUUUUUAUCUGCAUUUAUUAGUAUUCUAAUAAAAGCAUUUUGAUUGGAA
This is an RNA transcript of Cercocebus atys (sooty mangabey), 3995 nucleotides long. It is a transcript of the gene named glycine dehydrogenase (decarboxylating), with no coding region annotated. The transcript is spliced from 25 exons. The record is from RefSeq and is a predicted model, not a curated record. NCBI's taxonomy places the organism in Eukaryota, Metazoa, Chordata, Mammalia, Primates, Cercopithecidae.